GCAGGUGGUUUCUAAGCAGGUGGUUUCCAAGCAAGUGAUUGAUAAGCAAGUGAUUGGUAAGCAAGUGAUUGGUAAGCAAGUGAUUUGUGAUAAAAGGAAUCAAAAUAAUAGAAAUGAGAAUAAGGUUAUUACUUAUUUGGGCAGUGCUGACAGUAGUGGUAGUGGUCUUGUUACAAUGAAAGAUUUUCGUGAAUAUAUACCCUACGAACAAUUAUGUUUAAAGGAGUUUAUAAUUAUACGUAACUUUACUUUGUAUAAUAUUUUUUAUGAAUAUGAUGGAAAUAAUACGGUUUUGUUAAUGCCAUCCCAACAAAAUUUAAUUAUUGCAAAACAAUUACAUUUUAUACGUUUAUAUGUAAAAGAUAAUAAAAAAAUUAAUAAAAAGAUUUUUUUGAAAACAGGUAAUCGUAGCAGUAGUAGCAGUAGUAGUAGCAGUAGUAGUAUUAGUAAUGGUAUUGGUAGUGGUAUUGGUAGUGGUAUUGGUAGUGGUAUUGGUAAUAGCUUUAGUGGUAAAUCAAAUAUAUGGUAUAAAAAUGUAAACACAAAAAACUAUUUAAAUAUUCAGAUUAGUAUUGAAAAUAAUAAAAAAUGUAUAAAUAUAUAUCCUUUCUUUUUUAUAUAUGUUUUAUUUGAUGAAAAGAAGUUACGAUUUGAAGAUAAAUAUAAGGAAAGUAGUGGAAACAGAAAUAAUUUUAUUAAGGGUUUAGGGGUUAGGUCUAUAAACGGAACAGAUCAGAAUGAUACGAACACAUAUAUCCGUUUAAAUUUUUUCAAAAAUAAUUCUUAUGUUAAUACAUGUACAAUAAAAAAUGAAACAGAGAAAUUAUUAUCAGUUCCUUUUAAUUUUUUAAACAAAUGUAAAUUUAUUCAAUUAGUUUUAAAAACAAAUAAACAAAUGUUUGUAAGUAAAAAAAUCAAGUUUAUAGAUUUAUUAAGAAUGAGAAAAAUUGCAUAUAUAGACAUUUAUGGUAGAAUAUCUUCUUUUUAUUGUACUUUUUUUUAUUUAUAUAAUAUAAGUGGUAAUGACCAUAGUAAUGAUGAGCAGAAAAUGGAGAAGGAGAAGGGGGAAGUACAAAACAAUAGUAGUAACUUUCGAAGUGUUGUUAAAAAAACUGAGAAUAUAAACAUAAGAUACUCAACGAAUAUACAUUUUAACAAACAAUUGAAUAAUACAGAUUUUAAAGUAAAGAAAGGAAAUGAUAUAGAAAUGUUAAAACGGGAAGACUUAUAUGGAGGAAGAAAAAACACAUUGUAUGAGGUAAUAAAAGAAAAAAAAAAAAAAAAAAAAAAAAAGUUUGUAAAGAAUUACCAGAAAGAUACAAUAAAAUGGAUAAAAUAACGAGCGAUACACAAGACGGAAUGGAAAAAAUGCAAGACGAAGCAAAAAAAAUGGAAGACG
Molecule: long non-coding RNA, 1399 nt
Organism: Piliocolobus tephrosceles (Ugandan red Colobus)
Lineage: Eukaryota; Metazoa; Chordata; Mammalia; Primates; Cercopithecidae
Source: Ensembl